GAGCGUGAAGCACCUUCAGGUGUGAAUUAGCGGCGAACGGGUGAGGAACACGUGAGAAAUCUGCCUUCAACACUGGGAUAACUCCGGGAAACCGGGGCUAAUACCGGAUAUGAAAUCUGCGGGCAUCCGCGGAUUUGGAAAGUUUUUCGGUUGAAGAUGAUCUCGCGGCCUAUCAGCUUGUUGGUGAGGUAAUGGCUCACCAAGGCGACGACGGGUAGCCGGCCUGAGAGGGCGACCGGCCACACUGGGACUGAGACACGGCCCAGACUCCUACGGGAGGCAGCAGUGGGGAAUAUUGGGCAAUGGAGGAAACUCUGACCCAGCGACGCCGCGUGCGGGAUGAAGGCCUUCGGGUUGUAAACCGCUUUCAGCAGGGAAGAAGCGAAAGUGACGGUACCUGCAGAAGAAGCACCGGCUAACUAUGUGCCAGCAGCCGCGGUAAUACAUAGGGUGCAAGCGUUGUCCGGAAUUAUUGGGCGUAAAGAGCUCGUAGGUGGUUCGUCACGUCGGAUGUGAAACUCUGGGGCUUAACCCCAGACCUGCAUUCGAUACGGGCGAGCUUGAGUAUGGUAGGGGAGUCUGGAAUUCCUGGUGUAGCGGUGGAAUGCGCAGAUAUCAGGGGGAACACCAAUGGCGAAGGCAGGACUCUGGGCCAUUACUGACACUGAGGAGCGAAAGCGUGGGGAGCGAACAGGAUUAAAUACCCUGGUAGUCCACGCCGUA
RNAcentral lists this ribosomal RNA (723 nucleotides) under uncultured Actinomycetes bacterium. Its description in RNAcentral is "bacterial SSU rRNA". It matches the Rfam family "Bacterial small subunit ribosomal RNA", at positions 64 to 804 of the family's 1533-position model. Lineage: Bacteria; Bacillati; Actinomycetota; Actinomycetes. The record is from RNAcentral.